UCUCCCCGGGCUCUGUCCUAGUGGCGUACGGGAGCAUAGGGCACUGCCCAAUGAUGUACAGUCCCUUUCCACAACGUUGGAGAUGAAGCUGGGCUUCGAGUCUGCGCCUGCAUAU
This is a non-coding RNA of Rattus norvegicus (Norway rat), 115 nucleotides long. NCBI's taxonomy places the organism in Eukaryota, Metazoa, Chordata, Mammalia, Rodentia, Muridae. The record is from Rfam.